RNAcentral lists this ribosomal RNA (429 nucleotides) under Bacteroidota bacterium. RNAcentral's name for it is "Bacteroidetes bacterium partial 16S ribosomal RNA". It matches the Rfam family "Bacterial small subunit ribosomal RNA", at positions 355 to 776 of the family's 1533-position model. Lineage: Bacteria; Pseudomonadati; Bacteroidota. The record is from RNAcentral.
UAGGGAAUCUUCCGCAAUGGACGCAAGUCUGACGGAGCAACGCCGCGUGAGUGAAGAAGGAUUUCGGUUCGUAAAACUCUGUUGUUAGAGAAGAACAGCGCAUAGAGUAACUGUUAUGCGUGUGACGGUAUCUAACCAGAAAGCCACGGCUAACUACGUGCCAGCAGCCGCGGUAAUACGUAGGUGGCAAGCGUUGUCCGGAUUUAUUGGGCGUAAAGCGAGCGCAGGCGGUCAAUUAAGUCUGAUGUGAAAGCCCCCGGCUCAACCGGGGAGGGUCAUUGGAAACUGGUUGACUUGCGUGCAGAAGAGGAGAGUGGAAUUCCAUGUGUAGCGGUGAAAUGCGUAGAUAUAUGGUGGAACACCAGUGGCGAAGGCGACUCUCUGGUCUGUAACUGACGCUGAGGCUCGAAAGCGUGGGUAGCAAACAGG